AGCGAACGCUGGCGGCAGGCUUAACACAUGCAAGUCGAGCGGACCUUUCGGGGUCAGCGGCGGACGGGUGAGUAACGCGUGGGAACGUGCCUUCCGGUUCGGAAUAACCCUGGGAAACUAGGGCUAAUACCGGAUACGCCCUUAUGGGGAAAGGUUUACUGCCGGAAGAUCGGCCCGCGUCUGAUUAGCUAGUUGGUGGGGUAACGGCCUACCAAGGCGACGAUCAGUAGCUGGUCUGAGAGGAUGAUCAGCCACACUGGGACUGAGACACGGCCCAGACUCAUACGGGUGGCAGAGGUAGGGAUGAUGGGGCAAGAGGCGCUAGGGUUGGAAAGCCUUGUUGAGUGGGUGAGGAAGGCGUUAGGGUGGGAAAGCACUCUCGUCCGGGAGGCGAAUGAGGGGCACGGGGAAAUAAGCGCAGGAGAACAUAAUG
This 433-nucleotide ribosomal RNA is filed under the name uncultured bacterium. RNAcentral's name for it is "partial 16S ribosomal RNA". It matches the Rfam family "Bacterial small subunit ribosomal RNA", at positions 30 to 507 of the family's 1533-position model. The record is from RNAcentral.